UCAGCCGGUGGAAGGAACCGGUGAAAACGGGAGCGAGAUGUAGAGACGCGGGCAGGGGAAGGAAAACACAGAGGGGCCUAAAAAGACAGGAAAGAAGCUGCACCGCGACCUCAGCUAGAGGAAAACGAUGCUAAUGUAAGAAUGAGGCUGCGGAGCUUUUGCAUUAUGCAACCGGCAUGCUGGGAGAUGCCCUAGAAAUGUGCUGGGGGCUAGGAGAAGGCUUUCCUUAAAACUCCCUAUGCCAGAAAGGCAAGAACUUACCCAUGCAAGUAUCACCUAUGGAAUGAAAACAACAAGGAGAGGUUCUUGGAGGAGGCAGCAUAAUAGGUCGAGAAGAACCUGGGUUUCUAGUCCUGAUUUUGCCAGUAUUGUGAUUUGGAAGAUGAAUUUUGAGAUGUUCUUCUCUCCUAGGCCUGACAGAAGUUGCUGCAUGACAAGGAAGUCUGAUUUCAGGAACGAUCUAUUUCUCCUCCACCCUCAUUCAACUUGUCUUGCUGCCCUAAAGGAAGAAAGCUCCACAGCCCACCAGGGGAAGCAUAGUAGAAUGAGAAGAGUCUUUAGGGGCAACUUGAAGCCGUGGCUCCUUGCUCCUUGCUCUCCCAAAGUUGGGAACACAUUUUACCUAUGAGGGCAGAAAACAAUCAUAAUUCUCCAUCUCUGUAGAGGGACAGCAUCACACACUCUCCAAUCAACAAGGAAUCUGAACACCUGAAUUUUCGUUGAGUCUGAUGAAAUGAGUUUGAUGGGGUUCAGGACACACUACCCCAAAACAUGGUAAGGGGCAUUUUUAUAUCUGAAGACAGGGACACAGAGAAAAAUCUGAAUGAACAGGCCUUGCUAAGUUUUCCAUAGUUUACUACUCUUAGCUCAUACCCUUUUGUCCCAUCACAUUUUUCCACAACUUUCCACUUUUCAUCAGACCUAGCCUAAAAAUGCUCAGGUUUCACCA
Kogia breviceps (pygmy sperm whale) is the source of this 949-nucleotide non-coding RNA. The record is from RefSeq and is a predicted model, not a curated record. NCBI's taxonomy places the organism in Eukaryota, Metazoa, Chordata, Mammalia, Artiodactyla, Physeteridae.